CGCCAUUUUACAACUAAGAGGAUAUGACUUGGUGACGUUGUUCUUAAUUUCACCAAAAAAAGAUGUGGUUGAACUACUAAGAUGCAUUAAAGAUGUUUCAAGACUCAAGGUCAGAUCUGCACAUCAAGCUUGCAAGAAGAAGAUUGGAAUCAGGAAUCCUGAGAAGAUGACACUCUGAGAUGUGCAGGAAGAUGUGUGGGGAGGCAGCCCACCAGCAAGGCCUCACCUGAAAUGGCUGCUGAAGAGACACGAGUACAUAAAGUGCCAUAGAAGCUUUACUGUAGUGAAAUAUUUGCCAUCAUCCUGCAAUACACACAUGGUCUUAAAGAGACAAGACAAGCACAUAAGAAAAUGAAAUGAUGGAAAACCUCUUCAGUUGUUUGUGUUCUGCUCAGAUGUUGCCUUAGCGACAAGGGAUGCUCAGUACUUUGAUAGCAUCUUCAAGGUUAUUGGUUCCCGAGUUCAUGACAAACCUGGCAAUGGCUUGCCUCCACACUGGGAGAGAUUGAAAGAGAACAAGUGAGGUGAGGGCGACUCCAGGAAUGCAUCCCCAUUACAGUUUGAGCACGAGGCGGCCAUGGAUGCAAGUCUAUGUCAGACCACCACAAUGCACUCUCAAAACUCAAUGCAUGCAUCAAGGACAUUCACCAAUGGGCCACUGCAAACAAGAUGAUGCUAAACGCCGCAAAAACAGGACGCAAGUCUAUGUCAGACCACGACACUGCUCUUAUGAAACUCAAUGGAUGCACCAAGGGCUAUAUCAUCAAUGGACGACUACAAACAAGAUUCAUGCUUAAUGCAGCAAAACAGAAGAUCUUCAUUUAACAUCAAGAUUUUUGCAACAGCCACUCCCAGUCAUUUCCAUCGCAGUUGGUGAUGUGAAAUCACUCAACGAAAGCCAGAAAUCUCUGUGCAGUCAUGGAUGAACAUCUACAGGUAUCACUGAAGGCCCAUGUCACCACCCUAUUAUGCCGCUCUUCAAUGACUGUCAUCCAAAGAUGUUUUAAAUUUAGAAAAUAAUGAUCCGCACAAAUACACCUGGAAAUUGUUUGGUUUUCCUUGGCCGUCUUGAACUAACAUGAUCUGCCAUUUUGUUGAAGCAGUAGUUUGACUCCCCAAAAAUGGCAAACCAUUUUAGUUCACAAAGUAUUUGGAAAACCUCACAGUUUUAAAGUACAUAAUUUAAUUAUCCGUUUACUUUUAAAUGCUAUUCUGUCCAACCUGGUUCAUGUCAUAACAAACUCUUUCAUAGCCCAAAACGCCCAAAAGCAAUAUGUGUCUCUGAAAAGUGUUGAUGAAAUGAAUGAAAUGAUUGAUUGUGAUUGCAAUUAUUGAAGCUUGAGACUCGAAAACAACAAUAAGGUUUUGACAAGUACAAGUACUGAGCCUGACAAUUUAAUGUUGCCUAAUUUCUAAAGGGACACGUCGCUUUUGAGUUGGGUGUUUUGAGCUUUCGAAAAUGCUUGCUAUGAAAUGGAUGAGGUUGGAAAUAUGUUUUAAAAUUAGAAAAUAAUUAUCCACACAAAUAUACCUGGAAAUUGUUUGUUUUUUCUUGUUGCCCUCCUGAACUAUAACACAACCUGCCAUUUGUGUUGAAGCAAACUCAUGACUCCUGAAAAUGGCAUACUAUUUUAGUUCACAGUGUUAUGGAAUUUUGUUAAGUGUUAAUUUUGUAAGUGUUAUGGACUCCACAAAACACAGAGUAAAAGGAAAACCACACAGUUUUGAGGCACCUUAGUGUUGAUAAUUAUACACAAAUCUAAAAGCAAUGU
Molecule: long non-coding RNA, 1772 nt
Organism: Asterias rubens (European starfish)
Lineage: Eukaryota; Metazoa; Echinodermata; Asteroidea; Forcipulatida; Asteriidae
Exons: 5
Source: RefSeq, a predicted model, not a curated record